AGAGAGACGUGAGGUUGAGAGUGAAAGAGAGAUGCGUUUGAGCGACUGUGAGAGAGGGUUUGUUAGCGAGAGUGACGAGAGGUGAGUGAGAUGAAGAGAGCUCGAGGACGAUGAAUAGGUUCUGUUCUCAUUUUUUUCUUUUUAUUUAUUUCUUUUUAUUUGUUAAUAAAACAAACAUUGAAACUAUUAAAAAAUUUACGUUUAAUCUUCCUAUGUUUUUAUUUAACAGUGUUUUUAGUUAAUAGUGUACAUUAAUAUAUCAUUUUUUUGGUAUUCCCAAUCCAUCAGCCUUUGGAACCCAACAGCCAGGCGGCUGGGUUUAUUUUUUGGUAAUCCAACAGACCAUUUUUAUUUAAAUUUUAUUUUUUAAUCUUUUACUUCAAUCUGUUCUGGUUUAUAUAUUCCAGUUGUUAUUGUAAAUAAUAACUAAUCAUGAGUGGCCUAGUGGAGAGAGAGUAGUUUCAUUUGGUUUAGUGGAGUGGGUUUGAUACUUGGGGACAACAAUCUUUGUGUUUAUAUUUGUUAUGCUUACCAUUUUAUUUAAUUUCUUUUUCUAUAUAGUAUCUUGCUAUUUUAUUUUAUUUUUAUUUAUUCGAUUUAGUCGAUUUUUG
Molecule: long non-coding RNA, 611 nt
Filed under: Lathyrus oleraceus (garden pea)
Lineage: Eukaryota; Viridiplantae; Streptophyta; Magnoliopsida; Fabales; Fabaceae
Description: Pisum sativum (pea) long non-coding RNA (PSAT_LNC011009)
Source: RNAcentral